GCUGUCAAAUGCUGCGCACAGCCUAUUGACGUCUUCAGUCAAUGAAACUUGCUCAUCCUUCCGACGAUCAAAUGACUUCGAAGAUUAACAUUUACUCAACUAGUUGUUCGUCGACACCCGGAAGCUUUAUUCUAUUAUUAAUUUGUCACAUGGCUGAGAGAUUGCAAUAACAACAAAAGAUGGCGACAAUCACGUUGUUCGGUGUGGUCUUGCUGCGUCAUAACAAAUAUUCAUGUAAACACGAGAAUGAAACGGGGAAUUUGCAACGCGAGGGCGGACCUGGAUCAAGGAGGAGUCUCCGCUAGAGGGCCUCGCGACUGGACUGCUGGAGAAGCUUCGCGCGCCGAGGGUGGAGCCCCGACAAUCAUAACAAGUCUUACGUCAGCCCUGUGGUUUGUAUAAAUUGUGCAUUUCUCAAACUGCCACAGAAAAUCUAAUUGUAGCCUAUUUUCUAUACACUGGACAAGCUCAGCCUACUAAUCGACAUGGAAGGUUGUUAAUUGGAUUUCUAAAUCUUAAAAGUGGAUAAAGGUUCACAUAUAUGAUAUCACAGGGGUCCAAUAACGUUUCAACAUCCACCACAUCUGUGAGGAUUAUUUUGAGACUGUUUCACUGUUUUGUAUUAGGUAGGCUUUUCCAUUAAGCAUAUGGAUUCAUGAAGACCUUAUGAAUCAACUCUUACCAAGAUGCAAGACUGUAAACCGCACAGACCAGAGGCACACUCCAAAUGCCUCUAUUUAUAGGAAGCCUAUUGGCGUUGUUCCAGUGACAACAUACCUUCCUGGGAUGCUGUUCCCAAGACUCCAGGUCUAGGCUGGCUCUAGGGAGACUGUUGGAGUUGAGUCAGGGAGCGUGGCUGUAGAUGUGACGGGCUUCCCUUGUUCAGUUAUCACAGUGCUGAUGCUGUCCGUAUUAAAGGUACAGUACUGUGAUAACUGAAGGAUGGCAGCCAACUGGACUGCGAUCAACAAAGCUGGAAAUGAGUCCCAAGGAAUGAACUGGCUACGGUUAAGAGAGUGAAAUACUGUUUUAAUGUCAAAGGCAAGCCAAUGUCAAUUCAAAGAAGCCAAUUCGAACGAAGAUGUUGAAUUGGUGUUGUUAUUGAUUGUGUACAAUGUCGCUCUUGCACAAUUGUAUUUGUACAAAAUGUUUAAUAAAGUUGAAACAUUG
Long non-coding RNA from Osmerus eperlanus (European smelt), 1170 nucleotides. RefSeq lists it as uncharacterized. The record is from RefSeq and is a predicted model, not a curated record. NCBI's taxonomy places the organism in Eukaryota, Metazoa, Chordata, Actinopteri, Osmeriformes, Osmeridae. The transcript is spliced from 2 exons.